This 22-nucleotide microRNA is filed under the name Gallus gallus (chicken). RNAcentral's name for it is "gga-miR-7462-3p". The record is from miRBase by way of RNAcentral. Lineage: Eukaryota; Metazoa; Chordata; Aves; Galliformes; Phasianidae.
GGAAGCUUGAAAUAAGGUUGAA